Molecule: ribosomal RNA, 456 nt
Filed under: uncultured Pelotomaculum sp.
Lineage: Bacteria; Bacillati; Bacillota; Clostridia; Eubacteriales; Desulfotomaculaceae
Description: bacterial SSU rRNA
Rfam family: Bacterial small subunit ribosomal RNA
Source: RNAcentral
GCGGUGGAGCAUGUGGUUUAAUUCGACGCAACGCGAAGAACCUUACCAGGGCUUGACAUCCCCUGACCGCGUAUGAAAGUACGUUUUCACCCUCGGGUGACAGGGAGACAGGUGGUGCAUGGUUGUCGUCAGCUCGUGUCGUGAGAUGUUGGGUUAAGUCCCGCAACGAGCGCAACCCCUACGUUUAGUUGCUAACAGGUGAAGCUGAGCACUCUAGACGAACUGCCGUUGACAAAACGGAGGAAGGUGGGAUGACGUCAAAUCAUCAUGCCCCUUAUGUUCUGGGCUACACACGUGCUACAAUGGCCGGUACAGACGGAGGCGAAGCCGCGAGGCGGAGCAAAUCCGAAAAAGCCGGUCUCAGUUCGGAUUGCAGGCUGCAAUUCGCCUGCAUGAAGUCGGAAUCGCUAGUAAUCGCAGGUCAGCAUACUGCGGUCGAAUACGUUCCCGGGCCUU